RNAcentral lists this ribosomal RNA (510 nucleotides) under uncultured bacterium. RNAcentral's name for it is "partial 16S ribosomal RNA". It matches the Rfam family "Bacterial small subunit ribosomal RNA", at positions 28 to 507 of the family's 1533-position model. The record is from RNAcentral.
GACGAACGCUGGCGGCGUGCUUAACACAUGCAAGUCGAACGAAGAGCGAUGGAAGCUUGCUUCUAUCAAUCUUAGUGGCGAACGGGUGAGUAACGCGUAAUCAACCUGCCCUUCAGAGGGGGACAACAGUUGGAAACGACUGCUAAUACCGCAUACGAUCUAAUCUCGGCAUCGAGGAUAGAUGAAAGGUGGCCUCUACAUGUAAGCUAUCACUGAAGGAGGGGAUUGCGUCUGAUUAGCUAGUUGGAGGGGUAACGGCCCACCAAGGCGAUGAUCAGUAGCCGGUCUGAGAGGAUGAACGGCUACAUUGGGACUGAGACACGGCCCAGACUCCUACGGGAGGCAGCAGUGGGGAAUCUUCCGCAAUGGACGAAAGUCUGACGGAGCAACGCCGCGUGAGUGAUGACGGCCUUCGGGUUGUAAAGCUCUGUUAAUCGGGACGAAAGGCCUUCUUGCGAAUAGUGAGAAGGAUUGACGGUACCGGAAUAGAAAGCCACGGCUAACUACGUG